CAGUCGAACGGUAACGGAAAUAGCUUGNUAUUUUGCUGACGAGUGGGGCACGGGUGAGUAAACUAUAGUUAAUGUACCCCAAAGACUGGGAUAGCCACUGGAAACGGUGAUUAAUACUACAUACACCUUCUUAUCACAAGGUAAGAAGGGAAAUGUCUUUUCGCUUUGGGAUCGGACUAUAUCCUAUCAGCUAGUUGGUGAGGUAAUGGCUCACCAAGGCAAUGACGGGUAGCGGUUCUGAGAGGAUGAUCCGCCACACUGGUACUGAGACACGGACCAGACUCCUACGGGAGGCAGCAGUGAGGAAUAUUGCACAAUGGGGGGAACCCUGAUGCAGCAACGCCGCGUGGAGGAUGACGCAUUUCGGUGUGUAAACUCCUUUUAUAUGUCAAGAAAAUGACGGUAUCUUAUGAAUAAGCACCGGCUAACUCCGUGCCA
Molecule: ribosomal RNA, 438 nt
Filed under: uncultured bacterium
Lineage: Bacteria
Description: bacterial SSU rRNA
Rfam family: Bacterial small subunit ribosomal RNA
Source: RNAcentral